UACAGAGGUCUCAAGCGUUGUUCGGAUUCAUUGGGCGUAAAGGGUGCGUAGGCGGCGCGGUAAGUCGGGUGUGAAAUCUCGGAGCUUAACUCCGAAACUGCAUUCGAUACUGCCGUGCUUGAGGACUGGAGAGGAGACUGGAAUUUACGGUGUAGCGGUGAAAUGCGUAGAUAUCGUAAGGAAGACCAGUGGCGAAGGCGACACGCUGGGUCAUACCUGACGCUAAAACGCGACAGCAUGGGGAGCGAACGGG
Molecule: ribosomal RNA, 253 nt
Filed under: uncultured bacterium
Lineage: Bacteria
Description: partial 16S ribosomal RNA
Rfam family: Bacterial small subunit ribosomal RNA
Source: RNAcentral